CUUCGCAUGUUCCAUAUGUAAAUACAUAAGUAUUGUGCAAUAUGUAUGCAUAUUUCUCUUGCAUUUAAUUCUCAUUGGUUUGCAUGCAUGGCUUGUAGAUAAAUUUUACCCAUUCUUGGAUUUGCAGGGUUGAAACUUGUACUUUGAUCAGAAUACGCCGAUUGUUCGUUUUCUAUCCCUCUCGAGGAGUAUUUUCUGACCUUUUCUUUUGCAUCUAAGAGCACAUAUCCAAUUAGUUGUAAUGCAAAAUCUUGUGUUGUGGUCUGAUAUUCUGUGUUUUUGUCUACUUGUCCUAUUUGCACUGCAGUGUUGUUACAAAUUCUAUUUCUUUCCAGUGUUCCGUGCGUUUUAUAAUAGCUUUUAUGUAGAGCACACACUCUGUUGAAGAUUUUUAAUUUUCUAGCAUUAUGUACAAGUAUAAGGACUUCAGUUUUAUUGAGCUUCUGUUUGAAAAUUUUACAUCAUUCUGUUGAAAUAAAGCUUGUAACAACACUGGAG
Long non-coding RNA from Phalaenopsis equestris, 498 nucleotides. RefSeq lists it as uncharacterized. The transcript is spliced from 3 exons. Lineage: Eukaryota; Viridiplantae; Streptophyta; Magnoliopsida; Asparagales; Orchidaceae. The record is from RefSeq and is a predicted model, not a curated record.